AUUGAACGCUGGCGGCAGGCCUAACACAUGCAAGUCGAGCGAGCGGCGGACGGGUGAGUAAUGCCUGGGAAUUGCCCAGUCGAGGGGGAUAAAAGUUGGAAACGACUGCUAAUACCGCAUACGAUUGGAUUGCCCAGGUGGGAUUAGCUAGUUGGUGAGGGAAUGGCUCACCAAGGCGACGAUCCCUAGCUGGUCUGAGGGGAUGAUCAGCAACCCUGGAACUGAGAGACGUUCCAGACUCCGACGGGAGGCAGCAGUGGGGAAUAUUGCACGAUGGGGUAAACCCUGAUGCAGCCAUACCGCGUGUGUGAAGAAGGCAUGCGGGUUGUAGAGCACUUUCAGCGAGGAGGCGUUACUCGCAGAAGAAGCACCGGCUAACUCCGUGCCAGCAGCCGCGGUAAUUC
Molecule: ribosomal RNA, 404 nt
Filed under: uncultured bacterium
Lineage: Bacteria
Description: partial 16S ribosomal RNA
Rfam family: Bacterial small subunit ribosomal RNA
Source: RNAcentral